GAUGAACGCUGGCGGCGUGCUUAACACAUGCAAGUCGAACGGAAAGGCCAGUGCUUGCACUGGUACUCGAGUGGCGAACGGGUGAGUAACACGUGGGUGAUCUGCCCUGUACUUCGGGAUAAGCUUGGGAAACUGGGUCUAAUACCGGAUAGGAUAACUUUUUGGAUAUUGUUGUGGAAAGCUUUUGCGGUUUGGGAUGAGCUCGCGGCGUAUCAGCUUGUUGGUGGGGUAAUGGCCUACCAAGGCGUCGACGGGUAGCCGGCCUAAGUGAGUGUACGGCCGGUGUGGACCUGGGAGAGAGCCAGGACUCGGGAAGGAGGCAGCAGGGGGGAAUAUUGGACAAUGGGAGCAAGCGUGAUGCAGCGAGGCCGCGUGGGGGAUGAAGGCCUUCGGGUUGUAAGCUCCUUUCGCUAGGGACGAAGCUUUUUUGUGACGGUACCUGGAGAAGAAGCACCGGCUAACUACGUG
This 468-nucleotide ribosomal RNA is filed under the name uncultured bacterium. RNAcentral describes it as "partial 16S ribosomal RNA". It matches the Rfam family "Bacterial small subunit ribosomal RNA", at positions 28 to 507 of the family's 1533-position model. The record is from RNAcentral.